This is a long non-coding RNA of Rosa rugosa (rugosa rose), 611 nucleotides long. RefSeq lists it as uncharacterized. The record is from RefSeq and is a predicted model, not a curated record. Lineage: Eukaryota; Viridiplantae; Streptophyta; Magnoliopsida; Rosales; Rosaceae. The transcript is spliced from 5 exons.
GUAGAUAGUGAAGGAAGUGGUGCUGAGAAUUGUGCAUCCGCUCUUUUACUCGCAUCUGAGGACUUUUACCAACAUCAGCUGCAAUCGAUUUGCGGAUUUUGAAGCUUCACAGCAUAUUUAAGGAUGGCGAAAGAGAGAAAAGAAGGAGAAGAGAGAGGGGAAAAUCUUGAUUAAAACUAAUCAAGCCAACCAAUAAAAUUGUAACAUUCCUGCUAUACGAUUAUAUCCAGUGCUUUCCGUGUUGAAUAACCGCAGUUUCUCCCUAGAAGAUUACAUUUGUCAUCAAAACUUGGUAACUAAAGACUCACACUUGGUCAGGAUAAAACCAAAUGUUCAAUCCUUCGAAUCAUUACUUUCACCAAUAGUACUAUCUCCUACAAUCGAAAACCUAUCCAUCCAAGCUAGCCAGCAAAAUUUAGUUAGGGCUAUAAAUGAGUUCCAACAGAAUUUAGCUGACUGGUUUGAAUGGAUCGAUUCUCGACAGUGGCACAUAGUAAGAAUCAGUUACGCCAGAAUAUCAAGUAAAAUCAACUGUCCACAGCUUAAGCUUUGAUGAUGCUGCACUUGCACAAAUUCCUCAAGCAACCAUCACAAGUUGGCACAAUCCAGCA